Molecule: ribosomal RNA, 483 nt
Filed under: uncultured bacterium
Lineage: Bacteria
Description: partial 16S ribosomal RNA
Rfam family: Bacterial small subunit ribosomal RNA
Source: RNAcentral
AUUGAACGCUGGCGGCAGGCCUAACACAUGCAAGUCGAGCGGAUGAAGGGAGCUUGCUCCUGGAUUCAGCGGCGGACGGGUGAGUAAUGCCUAGGAAUCUGCCUGGUAGUGGGGGAUAACGUCCGGAAACGGGCGCUAAUACCGCAUACGUCCUGAGGGAGAAAGUGGGGGAUCUUCGGACCUCACGCUAUCAGAUGAGCCUAGGUCGGAUUAGCUAGUUGGUGGGGUAAAGGCCUACCAAGGCGACGAUCCGUAACUGGUCUGAGAGGAUGAUCAGUCACACUGGAACUGAGACACGGUCCAGACUCCUACGGGAGGCAGCAGUGGGGAAUAUUGGACAAUGGGCGAAGGCCUGAUCCAGCCAUGCCGCGUGUGUGAAGAAGGUCUUCGGAUUGUAAAGCACUUUAAGUUGGAAGGAAGGGCAGUAAGUUAAUACCUUGCUGUUUUGACGUUACCAAAAGAAUAAGCACCGGCAAACUUCGU